GCGGGUGGGACGUGUGCGGCGAGCCGUCGCACCGGAUCGCUGCGCAUCGCCGGCUCCCAGGCGCCCGCUGGGAUCUCCUGCGCGCGCUGCGCCGAAUAUGGACUUUCAGAGCGCUAUGGAGACAUUCGCGGAGGCGUGGGUGGCUGCCAACACGAAGGGCGGGCCGUUGGGCGAAGUCGCCGGACAGCAGAUGGCCGAAAAUACUCCUUGGCUACGAAUACCCGCUCCUCAGACGCAGGCGAUGGCGCUGACGCGCGGCUGCAAGACUCCACCGGCGCCACCCCCGCUGCUGCCGCCGC
Long non-coding RNA from Schistocerca americana (American grasshopper), 299 nucleotides. RefSeq lists it as uncharacterized. NCBI's taxonomy places the organism in Eukaryota, Metazoa, Arthropoda, Insecta, Orthoptera, Acrididae. The record is from RefSeq and is a predicted model, not a curated record. The transcript has 3 exons.